This 2193-nucleotide unclassified non-coding RNA is filed under the name Hevea brasiliensis (rubber tree). Lineage: Eukaryota; Viridiplantae; Streptophyta; Magnoliopsida; Malpighiales; Euphorbiaceae. The record is from RNAcentral.
GGUUUUUACCCAAGCCAAUACCCAGAAAGGGGCAACAGAGUGGAGCCAGCCAUAGCUCAAAGCAAGAUCAUCAAGAACAAAGACAGGUACCCUUCUUUUUCUUAUCCAACUAUUUUUAUUCCAUUCCAAUGAUUCGAUUGUUUUGUGUAAGACUGUCACAAACGAGGCACAGAGCAUCACCACUUACAUUUAGCAAUGGCUUUUUGAUCCCAACAUUUUCUCACAAACUCAUCACUAACCUCUCAAACUCUGCAUUCCCACAAUCUCCCACAAUCUCUUACCUCCAAAACUCAUGUGGGUUGUCCUUACAAGCAGCCAUUUCAGUCUCUAGAAAGCUACAAUUGGAAUCCACGGAGAACCCUGACCUAGUCCUGAACUUACUCAGAGCUCAUGGUUUGACUCAGAUCCACAUCAAGAAUUUAAUCAUUAAACGUCCAAUACUGCUUUUGGCUGAUUUAGACAACAACCUUAAGCCUAAUUUAGACUUGUUUAAAUCUUUGGGGUUUUCUGGCAGUAAUCUUGCCGAAAUGCUCAUCAAGGAUCCAAGAGUACUUGAAGUUGAUGCAGAGACAGUGGUUGAGUUCUUUAGAGAGAAUGGUUUUAGUAAAAAACAGAUAGUGACUUUGACCAUGAAGCGACCCUCAUUGUAUAUUUUCAAGUUACAUAAAACUUUUAAGCCGAAGUUGGAAUUUUUCAAGUCCUUGGGUUUUUCAGAGCUUGAUGUUGCAACCAUUUUGUCAGCAGAGCCUUACAUUUUGGAGAGGAGUCUUGAAAACCAAAUUAUACCCUGUAUUAAUGUACUUAGGCGUGUUGUUGGAAAUGAUAUGAUUGUCCAAAAAGUAAUAAGGGGAUGCCACCGGAUUCUUGAAUUUAAUGCGGAAAAGAUGCUCGAGCCAAACAUGUCACUGUUGGUAAACCAUGGGGUGCCAGAGUUCAUAAUAUCGAAGAUGUUCUUGUUUCAUCCAAGAUCAUUGCUGCUAAAGACUGAUAGAUUGAGUGAGAUUAUUAAUGAAGUUAAGAAAUUGGGUUUUAGCCCUACUAAUGUUCUAUUUGUAUUAGCUGUCCGUACCAUGGUGACAACAAACAAAAGACUCUGGGAGAAAAAGUUAGAAGCCUACGGAAGUUUUGGUUUAUCAAAGGAGGAAAUUAAUCUCGCAUUUAAGUUGCAACCCAUGUUUAUGAUUGUUUCAGAGAAGAAAAUAAGAAAAUCGAUGAAUUUCUUUGUGAACAAAUUGAAAAUGAAGCCUUCAGUGAUUUCUAAGAAUCCAAAUCUUAUACUUCUUAGCAUAGAGAAGAGGAUUAUACCUAGGUGUUCUGUUUUGCACAUUCUGAUGUCAAAGGAAUUGAUAAAGGAAGGUGUUAGCCUUAUUUAUAUGCUUAGAAUGACGGAGAAGAUGUUUGUGGAGAAAUUUGUGACCAAGUAUCAGAAUGUUGUUCCUGAAGUUGUUAAGGCGCAUCAAGGCAGGAUAGAAUUUCAAGGUUUUCCAAGAGAUUUGAAAAUGUGAGUGGUCAUGGAUCCCAAUAAAUGACUAGGUGAUAUCAAAUGGUUCUUAGCUUAUACUCCACUGUGAUUUGGAAGACAGGCUGUUUAUAUCAUUGGAAGGCAAUCUACCAUUUGGGGAUGGCUAUUAUUAGCCGUAAUGAAUAGCUGAAAGUGUGAGCUCAUUUAAAGGUCGUCUGGGGCAUCAUUAAUGACAAUUUGACCGUGAAUCCUUGAAUGAUUCAGAAGCCUGAGCAUAUUGGAGGACUGGCUGCUUAUCUUUGUUGUGCACACAUCAGUGGAAGCCAAUUGAUGAUGGGUAUAGAUACGUUCAAUUCACAUUAAUCAGAAUGGCAGCCUGUUGGCUCAAGCAUCGCAAUUUUAGGAAACUGAUUAAAGGAGAAAUCUUUCGGUAUUUGAUACUGGAAGAUUGAUACUUCAUUCUCUUGCCUUAUUUUCUUCAAUAUAUCAAAACGUUCAAGUUUAUGCAGGUGUGUCGAAUCUUCAUGUUAGUUUUAACUUGGAAAUGAAAGAUUAUUAGUGUUAUUCUGUUUCAUUAAGCUGGUGUGCAAGACAUUUUUCUUUCGCAUUUAUUUGAUUUUACUGAAGAUUCAUUUUCCAAUUUUUUGAUGCCAUCUUUUUGCUUUCUUAGCGUUUGGAAUUAAUUUGUUGGAUUCUUUCAAUUCAGAGGGACCUUUAAUGUCCUUGUAAAG